Carassius auratus (goldfish) is the source of this 1216-nucleotide long non-coding RNA. RefSeq lists it as uncharacterized. The record is from RefSeq and is a predicted model, not a curated record. The transcript has 2 exons. Lineage: Eukaryota; Metazoa; Chordata; Actinopteri; Cypriniformes; Cyprinidae.
CAAGACUAAUCCCCUCAUCCAAGUAUCGCUGCUUUAUUUCCUAACCCCAAAUGAUUAACAACAAAUUAAUUCCGCUCCAGUCCGCUGCUCUAUUCUGCGUCAGGUUUUGGCAUUGACUUGCGUUUCAAUAGCUGUGGGUGACAGCCUUACAACAGCGCUGAGAUAGCAGACGCGCGAUCUUUCUCUUUCAGACCAAUCACUGCGGGCUACACGCCGGGGAUUGCUGGAAAUAUUACAUUUCUACCGGACACUAAGAGUUUCCUUUAACGGAUUCCAGAGGCUGGACUCAAAUCGGAGGAAGCGACACGCGCACCAAACAAACGAACGUGCCUUUUUGUCCACGCGCUCAGGAGCGUGUUUAUUCUACUGGCGCAGCACUGAAUAACUAUUGUAGCGGUAGGUGAUCGAUAAGGCAAGUGUUUCUAGCCCAGACAGACACGUUUUCAUAAGGCACAGCUGCUUGCGCUGCCGUGGACUGUUUUUGCCAUCAUUUGUUAGACAAAAGGCAGUUUAUUCCCGCUUAUUGCGAACGACUUCUUGGAUACUGGAUGGCUGUCCGAAGCGGAGUACAACGGCUGCAGGACCAAGCCGGGAAUGCCAUUUGUUCACAAGCAGCAUAAACGAGCUUUGUUGCGCGGUGUUUUUACCAGGGGACAGGUGUCGUUGUGUACGUUGGGGCGGGGGGUUAGUUGUUGGGGGUUUGGACACAGUUGUCUUAAGGAUGUCAGAUCAGGGAUCAGAUCUGCACAGAGACAGGUGCGACAGAGAGGAGUAGAUUUCACGCGGACCCCUCCUCUCUUCUCCUCUCAGUCAUUCUGGAAUAUAGUCCCGAGGAGGCGAGUCAUUCACAGAGAACCGGGCUCACCGUUUCCCAUUGGCUGUUAACGGUUUGUGGACUGGAAAAAGAGAAAGAAGUGAGUGAAGUCCCUAAGGGUGAAAGCAUUUAAAAGAACCCAGGAGAGAGAGCAGAUGAGAAAGGAGGUGAAAAGAGGAUUUGCCAUGUGGAGAUGAUGUCCUUAAGUGAAGGAAAGGUAAGAUAUGGAUAGGAUAGCAGCCUGUUUUCUCCACCAACAACUCUGGCUUAUUAUGGACAAGAAUUGUUCUUUGAAGCAAAAACUCAAUUUUCUUACAGUCUGCACGACUAAAGGUCUCAAGCUUGAUAGCAGUCAUUAGAGCUGUUCAGUUUUUGCAUUGUAAAUUGGGUUAUUAUCAUCCA